RNAcentral lists this ribosomal RNA (466 nucleotides) under uncultured bacterium. RNAcentral's name for it is "partial 16S ribosomal RNA". It matches the Rfam family "Bacterial small subunit ribosomal RNA", at positions 28 to 507 of the family's 1533-position model. The record is from RNAcentral.
GACGAACGCUGGCGGCGCGCCUAACACAUGCGAGUCGAACGAGCGAGAGAGAGCUUGCUUUCUUGAGCGAGUGGCGAACGGGUGAGUAACGCGUGAGGAACCUGCCUCAAAGAGGGGGACAACAGUUGGAAACGACUGCUAAUACCGCAUAAGCCCACGACCCGGCAUCGGGUUGAGGGAAAAGGAGCAAUCCGCUUUGAGAUGGCCUCGCGUCCGAUUAGCUAGUUGGUGAGGUAACGGCCCACCAAGGCGACGAUCGGUAGCCGGACUGAGAGGUUGAACCGCCACAUUGGGACUGAGGCACGGCCCAGACUCCUACGGGGGGGAGCAGUGGGGAAUAUUGCACAAUGGGGGAAACCCUGAUGCAGCGGCGCCGCGUGGAGGAAGAAGGUCUUCGGAUUGUAAACUCCUGUUGUUGAGGAAGAUAAUGACGGUACUCAACAAGGAAGUGACGGCUAACUACGUG